GUGGGGAAUAUUGGACAAUGGGGGAAACCCUGAUCCAGCAAUGCCGCGUGAGUGAAGAAGGCCUUCGGGUUGUAAAGCUCUUUUGUCAGGGAAGAAACGGGAGUGGCUAAUAUCUGCUUCUAAUGACGGUACCUGAAGAAUAAGCACCGGCUAACUACGUGCCAGCAGCCGCGGUAAUACGUAGGGCGCAAGCGUUGUCCGGAAUCAUUGG
This 211-nucleotide ribosomal RNA is filed under the name uncultured Pelagophyceae. RNAcentral describes it as "partial Bacterial small subunit ribosomal RNA". It matches the Rfam family "Bacterial small subunit ribosomal RNA", at positions 354 to 557 of the family's 1533-position model. Lineage: Eukaryota; Pelagophyceae. The record is from RNAcentral.